GUUGUGCAUUUUCCGGGCUUUUUUUUUUUUCCGUGUCAGGAGCAACCGGAGUUGCUUCUGGAGUGAGAGAAUUGGCCGUCUGCAAGGACGUUACCCAGGGGACGCCCGGAUGUUUUGAUGUUUUUACCAUCCUUGUGGGAGGCUUCUCUCAUGUCCCCACAUGGAGCUGGAGCUGAUAGAGGGAGCUCAUCCACACUCUCCCCAGGUGGGAUUCGAACCUGGCAGCUUUCAGGUCAGCAACCCAACCUUCAAGUCACUUAGUCCACUACGCCAUCUGGGGGCUCCAUUUUCUGGGCUGUAUGGCCAUGUUCCAGAAGCAUUCUCUCCUGACGUUUCGCCCACAUCUACGGCAAGGAUCCUCAGAGGUUGUGAGCUCUUGUGAACAACAAUCCAGCAAGUCUUCCUGUCUUUGGGAAUUAAAUCGGAAUUGUUGCAUGAUGUCUGGCUCCAUUCAUUUCCAUGAGGUUGACACUAACUCACAAGAUUACUUACUUAGGCGAUCCCUCGUAGCUCAAGGAUGAUGGUCCUCCAAGUGUUGUGUCGGCGGUGGAUGCGUAGGUGGCUGUGGAGGCCUAUUCUUGACCCGCAUGUUCUUCUGCAGUGAAGACAUCAGUUUCCAGAUGGAAAAUGGUCGUGGUCAGGGUUGGCUUGACACGCCUUCCUCCUGGCACAUUUCUCCCUUGUCAUGUUUCUUACAAGAUUAUACCACCCAAACCAUGGAAAACACCAUGGGACCAUGGAAAAUGAAAUGAUCCUUAUCAUAUGGUCCCCAGGACAACAAUGUGAUGCAGCAGCUUAAAAAGUCAAUGGGAUUUUGGGCUACAUCAAAAGGAGUGUAGUGCUUAGAUCAAGAGAAGUAAUGGUCAGACCUCACCUGGAAUACUGUGUCCAAUUCUGGGUGCCACAAUGCAAGAGGGAUAUUACCAAGCUGAAAUGUGUCCAGAUGAGGGUUCCCUAUGAAGAGUGUCUUAAAGAGCUGGUUGUUUAGCCUGUAGAAGAGAAGGUUGAGAGGAGACAUGAUCACCAUAUUUAAAUAUGCUGUCAUAAGGAAGAAGGAGUAGGCUUGUUUUCUGCUGCCUUGGAAACAAGGAUUCAGAGCAGAGUGUUCAAAUGACAGGAAAUAAGAUUCCACCUGAAUAGUAGGAAGAACUUCCUGACCAUAAGAACUGUUCAACAGUGGAACCCUCUGCCUCAGAGUGUGCUGGAAGCUCCUUCCUUGGAGGCUUUUAAGUAGAGACUAGAUGGCCAUCUGUCAGGGGCAUUUUGAUUGUACUUUUCCUGCAUGACAGUGAGUUGGACUAAAUGGCCCGUGUGAUCUCUUCCAACUCUAUAAUAAUAAUAAUAAUAAUAAUAAUAAUAAUAAUAAUAAUAAUAAUAAUAAUAAUUAUUAUUAUUAUUAUUAUUAUUAUUAUUUUAUUAUUAUACCCCGCCCCAUCUCCCUGAAGGGACUCGGGGUGGCUUACAUGGGGCCAAGCCCGGUCGUCAACAAUAUAAAAACAAGCAGUAAAACAAAUCAGACACAAUAAAACAAGUUAUAAAAACACAUUCAAUACACAAUGAUAAAAUAACUCUAUGAUGCUAUUGUUGGAAAUAGCAACCUUCUCAAGCUUCCACUAGUUAUAUGUUGUGUAUAUAAUUCAGAUUGCUUACUGUAUUUUAUAUGUCUGUAUUGGCAUGCAAUUUUACCUUAACUCUUUGUUGUGGGAGGGGCUACAGACCAUGUGAUCAGAACUGGGCUUGUUCAGAACUCAGACUCCAUUUUAGAAACGGUUCAGUUUAGACUUCAGUAAGAAGUUAUGCUUCAGACUUCAAUGCAGGAACAGUAUUCUGUACAGAAACUAUUAGAUGCCAUUGGACUAUGGACUGUUGAUUCUAAGAAUGUUGCCCUGUGUUACCUACAUGCAGAAACUAUUUCAAAACUAUUUGUAACUGAAUUGAUAAAGAUCUGUAUGCUGAA
This is a long non-coding RNA of Anolis carolinensis (green anole), 1957 nucleotides long. RefSeq lists it as uncharacterized. The transcript is spliced from 2 exons. The record is from RefSeq and is a predicted model, not a curated record. Lineage: Eukaryota; Metazoa; Chordata; Lepidosauria; Squamata; Anolidae.